This 333-nucleotide long non-coding RNA is filed under the name Helianthus annuus (common sunflower). Its description in RNAcentral is "sRNA HanXRQr2_Chr17g0819841". The record is from RNAcentral. Lineage: Eukaryota; Viridiplantae; Streptophyta; Magnoliopsida; Asterales; Asteraceae.
GGUGUGAUCUCGAGUAGGUACUGCAGAUGACAUGAGAAUCGCAAGGCACUCGCAUUGUCGUUGUAGGGCAGCAACCCAUCGUUGUGCACCGAACCCCAUCCCGGCGCGAAUCAACGGUCGGUAAAGCUCGUGAACAGCAUUUUCAUCGUAUUCGGCAUGCUCCACCCACUAACCAUUAGGCAUAUCUUGAACAACACAACCAGAAGGAAGCCUUCUACAGCUCAAAUACGCCGGUUGGCCAUCUCGAAUUGUAUCGAUUGACACAUCAACCACCGCCCACACACCCUCCGCGUGUUGCUUGCAAAAGCGGAGAAAGUUGACCUCACGGACCGG